Molecule: unclassified non-coding RNA, 345 nt
Filed under: soil metagenome
Description: partial contains 5.8S ribosomal RNA, internal transcribed spacer 2, and large subunit ribosomal RNA
Rfam family: 5.8S ribosomal RNA (bases 1-120)
Source: RNAcentral
GAUGAAGAACGUAGCGAAAUGCGAUAAGUAAUGUGAAUUGCAGAAUUCCGUGAAUCAUCGAAUCUUUGAACGCAUAUUGCGCCCCCUGGUAUUCCGGGGGGCAUGCCUGUCCGAGCGUCAUUGCUGCCCUCAAGCACGGCUUGUGUGUUGGGCCUCCGUCCUCCUCCCGGGGGACGGGCCCGAAAGGCAGCGGCGGCACCGCGUCCGGUCCUCGAGCGUAUGGGGCUUCGUCACCCGCUCUUGUAGGCCCGGCCGGCGCUUGCCGACACAUCAAUCUUUUUUCCAGGUUGACCUCGGAUCAGGUAGGGAUACCCGCUGAACUUAAGCAUAUCAAUAAGCGGAGGA